GCCGGUCGUGGUGGUGCGCGCCUGUAGUCCCAGCGACUCGGGAGGCUGAGGCUGGAGGAUCGCUUGAGUUUCAGGAGUUAUGGCCUGUAGUGUGCUAUGCUGAUCGGGUGUCCGUACUAAGUUCGGCAUCAAUAUGGUGUCCUCCCGGGAGCGGGGUACCACCAGGUUGCCUAAGGAGGGGUGAACAGGCCCAGGUCGGAGACGGAGCAGGUCAAAAAUCAAAAGACUUGGGUUUGGGUUCCAGUUUUAAUGUUUCAUCAACUUGCGACUUGGCAAAUUGCUAAUUUU
This 288-nucleotide signal recognition particle RNA is filed under the name Rhinolophus ferrumequinum (greater horseshoe bat). Its description in RNAcentral is "Metazoan signal recognition particle RNA (ENSRFEG00010005013.1)". It matches the Rfam family "Metazoan signal recognition particle RNA". Rfam says of the family: The signal recognition particle (SRP) is a universally conserved ribonucleoprotein. It is involved in the co-translational targeting of proteins to membranes. The record is from RNAcentral. Lineage: Eukaryota; Metazoa; Chordata; Mammalia; Chiroptera; Rhinolophidae.